UCUCAUGGCGCUCAACGUGUUAAUCAUUAAAACAUUUUUUUUUUUAAUAACUUAUAUUGUAUUUGAUUUUAGGUUAUCUUAAUUUCACUCGAACCAAAUGAAAAUGGUGUAUAUAUAGCUACAACUGAAGAUAAAAAACAAAACGAUUAAAAGAUACGAACAAUAUGUCAGAAUUUAGUUGUUCUUUUGAAAAAGUUAAAGAAUUCAAGGCUUUAGAAAUUGUUGGCGUUAAAUGACAAAUGGUAUAGAGGAAGAAUGAUAUUAUGUUACAAUGAAUUUCAAUUUAAUGAUACAAGAAUUGAGUUGAUUGAUGUUGAUUCUUUUUAUCAAAUUAAACUAGAUAAUUUGUUUGUUCUUCCGUAAUUCUUUUUGUAUGAACAAUUAAAUAUCAGAGCAUGUAGCAAUAUCGUGGUGUACUCGGAGUGUCCGAUAAAUACCAACACCACUUACAGAGAGUCCCAGAAACUACAGCCAUUACCGCACAUAUGCUGUCAAAUGUGGACUAAAUUUGUCAAGCAAGUAAUGAUUUCAAACAAUUCAAACAAUAAUAAGCCACCAUCUGCAAAGAGUCAUUCAUGGCUCUCUCCAGAAGCUAUGUGGUGUGGCCGGUUGCCACGAUCACCGCAUCAUCGGCGAAGCACACGAUAUGGAUGCCAUCCGGAUAUCCCAACCGCAUUAGUCCAUCAUAGAAGAUGUUUCGCAAUAUAGCUCCUUCUCAAGAAACGCUCUUGAGACCGCUGCUUCCACCACGUCGGCCGUUCAAUCCUUGGCUAUAAGCCCUGUUUGCCACACCGUCUAAAGGUUAGGAUACGCCAUAUGUAGUCCAUUUUGCAAUGAAACAUUUAUUUAUGAAAUAACUUCCCUAUACCAUCUUCAUCAGGUGCAUAUCCUACUAAAGCCACCAACAUACGUAGGCAGGGAAAAUUCAAAGAAUAUGUUAAAUAUGAUUGCAAGUUCAAUUUAUCAGUUCCCCCAAAACAGAUACAUAACAUCGUUAAGUCACAUUUAUUGAACAGUUACGGUUCAAGAAUUAAAAGUACUGAGAAAUUUAAUUAUACUUUAAUCACAAAGUGCAGUACAAUCCAAAGUUUAAAAUAUCAAAAAAUCAAUAUACUCUCAAGAUACAAAAAUAUAGAUAAUAUUAUACACUACGUAAAGGCAGACAGGCUGGCUGAAUAUAUUAUGGAUUCAAAGCCUCACACAUUAAGAAAUAUAGCAUCAAGAUUCACGAUUGAAAAAAUAGAUAAAAAAAAAGGGAGGAAAUAGCCAUAAAUAAAAAAUCAUCAAUAGACAUAAUUAAAAGUGAAGCCGUUAAACAAUAUUGUAAAUUUCUUUUAACUAAUCUACCAAUCAAAAAUCAAAAGCAAUCAGUCAUUUCCGAACUUAACUCAAUAGAAUUUUUUAAAACCAUCACUCCAUCAAUACAUAAAACAUUCAAUAUAAACGAUCUCGUGCAAUCGGCCACCUCAAUACAAUUCAUUGAUUACAUAUUCAGCUGUGUUAUACUAUAUUGCUCCCCUGAUAUCCUUCAUGAUGUCCAAGUGUGUGAAGUGGAUACGUUAGAAGAAAUCUAUAAUCAAAAAAAAAAAAAAAAUUAAUACAAAUGAGUAUAAUUAUUAACUAUAUAGUAAAUUAUUAUCAACAAAUAAAGGGAUUGGUAGAUGACAAAGGCAACGCCAUUCUGAAUUGUCUACCAUACAUAAAUUGUAACCAUCUUUAUUCAAUGGAUAAAACAUUCCAUGAAUUCAUAAUGGCAGUAGAAUCAUGGUGACGGAAUCCAUUUAUUGAUCUAAAUUAUAAAAACACAAAGUUAACAACAAGGGUUCCGGAUGUCAGAAUUCAAAUUGAUGACAAGUCAGUCAUUGAAUUCUUUACCCCAGAUCCAAAUAUCGAUGAUUACAAUACAGCAUUAGUAUUGACUUGUGUUUAUGUAUAUUAUGAAAACUUAAAUUUUACUCAAAAGUACACAGUUUUUGAUGUUGGCAGAUGUAUUCAAAUUCAGAAUCAACUUCAUUGCUUCCACUGAAAAUAUUUUAAAAUAUUCGUGCAAUCAUACCGCACCACCCUGGUGUGGGGUUAUUACACGUGCCGCGUUUUUUUAUAGUGGUGUCGCCUGGAGCCCUAUUCCACUGACAUUAUUAAUAAAAUAUGUUUUAUAUGAAUGCAAUUGCACCUUGCGUGCGUUAGCACUUCAUCGUCACUGUAGAACUAAUAAAUGAUUAGCCAAGGUAGUCUGAUGGUAGAUAAGUAAUAAUUAUUUAUUGUAUAAAAAAAAAAAAAAUUAGUAUAUUCACUGCAAAAUGAUACUUACUUGAUACUUACCUUUGCUCGUGCGGAGUCUCUGUCCAUUUUAAUGGUAUGAUAUAUUACAACAAAGUAAGUGUUUGUACAUUACAUUAUACAGUAGUUUUGUUUGGCCAACUCAGUGUUAUAUUUCAGUAUACACUAGGUAAGUAUGGGAUUUACGAUCAAAAAUUUAAUUUAAUUUAGAAAAUAUAAAUGAAGUUAAUAAGAUCGAGAGGGAAUAUUGUGGUGAUGGCUCGCUAGACUGCUAGAUAUAUAUCUCUAGCCUUCAUGGUACCAGGUUAACAAUUGAUAAGAGGUAUGUUGAUAAGGUAUAUUGAUAUAUACCACGAUUAAAGAUAUCUUUAAUCGUGAUAUAUACCGCUACCGUGUUUAUCUUGUUUUUGAUAAGGUGAUUUAGUGUGAACUUCCGACCGUCGUUAUUGUAUUAUGAUUAUUUUUUUCGUUAAUUUAUUAAUUUUUGUAAGAUUUUUCGGGCCCCGUUUAAACUUUUAAAUCGUCUUUCGGGUGUUUACAAAGGGUCCUCUGCUGCGAUCGCACGUGGAAUAAUAUAUUUCACGUCGCUGUUAGAAAUUCGAAUGCCCGUCAUAGUGGUUCUAAGUUUUUCUUUCGAGAUAUCCUAUAAUUUUUUUUCCUGGAAGCAUUUGCCUUUUGACAUCCCCUAAUAACUAUAAAAUAAAAAUGUAAAAUACUCCUAUUGUACCCCGGCAUUUGAUUUGUUUUUGAAUUAGGUUUUGAGCUUCGGACCUUCUUAGACUCGUGCCCAAAAGCCAGACACUUAAAACAUCUCGUGUUUCUCUUUUCGGCCUUCCGAACCCUGUAGUUGACAACGCUGAUCCUUAACCACCCUGUUUUAAUCACAUAGCGAGCCUGGCUUACCUGUAGAAGGACUAGGGCUGUCUGUAAGAAGUCCUUAAGUUAAAAAUCUUAACUAACUUAUUCUGAAAUUUCUCAUCUUUCCAAUAAAUCCAAUGAAUGGCUCCGUGAACGUGUAAUUUCGGCCCUUAAAAACGACACCGUCAACAUCAUAAACGAAAAAGUUCUUUCCAUGUUCGAAGCUGAUAAAAAAAAACUAUAUUUCCAUAGAUACACUAACUAAUCAAGGUGAAACUAUAGAUAUACCGACUAAAUUUCUUAACUCAUUAAAUCCAUCAGGUCUCCUCCCUACACAAACUUGAUUUAAAAAUCAGUGCGCCUAUUAUUCUCAUGCGAAAUUUAAAUGCUCCCAAAUUUUGAACGAGAUUAAAAAUAUUAUCUUUGAAAAAAAACCUUAUUGAAGCUGAAAUUAUUGCCGGCUCAGCGAGUGGUAAAAUUUUAUA
Long non-coding RNA from Aphis gossypii (cotton aphid), 3623 nucleotides. RefSeq lists it as uncharacterized. The record is from RefSeq and is a predicted model, not a curated record. The transcript is spliced from 9 exons. NCBI's taxonomy places the organism in Eukaryota, Metazoa, Arthropoda, Insecta, Hemiptera, Aphididae.